This 481-nucleotide ribosomal RNA is filed under the name uncultured bacterium. RNAcentral's name for it is "partial 16S ribosomal RNA". It matches the Rfam family "Bacterial small subunit ribosomal RNA", at positions 28 to 507 of the family's 1533-position model. The record is from RNAcentral.
GACGAACGCUGGCGGCGUGCCUAACACAUGCAAGUCGAACGGAACUGUUUUGAAAGAUUUCUUCGGAAUGAAUUUGAUUUAGUUUAGUGGCGGACGGGUGAGUAACGCGUGAGUAACCUGCCUUCAAGAGGGGAAUAACAUUCUGAAAGAAUGCUAAUACCGCAUGACAUAUCGGAACCACAUGGUUUUGAUAUCAAAGAUUUUAUCGCUUGAAGAUGGACUCGCGUCCGAUUAGUUAGUUGGUGAGGUAACGGCUCACCAAGACCGCGAUCGGUAGCCGGACUGAGAGGUUGAACGGCCACAUUGGGACUGAGACACGGCCCAGACUCCUACGGGAGGCAGCAGUGGGGGAUAUUGCGCAAUGGGGGCAACCCUGACGCAGCAACGCCGCGUGAAGGAUGAAGGUUUUCGGAUUGUAAACUUCUUUUAUUAAGGACGAAAAAUGACGGUACUUAAUGAAUAAGCUCCGGCUAACUACGUG